GAUCAUUACCUGAACAGGGGGGCCGUUCGGUCGUCAGAUCGCGACAGCUCCCUUGCUUUCACCCUUGUCUGUAAGCACCCUUUUGUAGUUUCCUCGGCGGGCUCGCCCGCCGGCAGGAACCCCCUUUAACACUUCUGUAUCAGCAUCGAACUUCUGAUCUAAAUAAAAUUAAUCACAACUUUCAACAAUGGAUCUCUUGGUUCUGGCAUCGAUGAAGAACGCAGCGAAAUGCGAUAAGUAGUGUGAAUUGCAGAAUUCAGUGAAUCAUCGAAUCUUUGAACGCACAUUGCGCCCCUUGGUAUUCCAUGGGGCAUGCCUGUUCGAGCGUCAUUUACACCCUCAAGCUCUGCUUGGUGUUGGGCGUCUGUCCCGCCGUUUGCCGGCACGAGGACUCGCCUCAAAGGUAUUGGCAGCGGCCUUUGUCAGCUUCUCGCGCAGCGAAGAUUGCGUAGGUUGGAGCCUGGCGUCGGGUUCGCGUCCACAAAAGUCCACCACGACUUGACCUCGGAUCAGGUAGGGAUACCCGCUGAACUUAAGCAUAUCAAUAAGCGGAGGAAAAGAAACCAACAGGGAUUGCCCUAGUAACGGCGAGUGAAGCGGCAACAGCUCAAAUUUGAAAUCUGACUCCUUUGGGUGUCCGAGUUGUAAUUUGCAGAGGGUGCUUUGGUGUCGUCGGCGGUCUAAGUUCCUUGGAACAGGACAUCACAGAGGGUGAGAAUCCCGUUUGUGGUCGCCAGCCUUCGCCGUGUAAAGCCCCUUCGACGAGUCGAGUUGUUUGGGAAUGCAGCUCUAAAUGGGAGGUAAAUUUCUUCUAAAGCUAAAUACCGGCCAGAGACCGAUAGCGCACAAGUAGAGUGAUCGAAAGAUGAAAAGCACUUUGGAAAGAGAGUCAAAAAGCACGUGAAAUUGUUGAAAGGGAAGCGCUUGCAGCCAGACUUGCCCGUAGUUGCUCACCCGGACUUUUGCCCGGGGUACUCUUCUGCGGGCAGGCCAGCGUCAGUUUGGGCGGUUGGAUAAAGGCCUCUGUCAUGUAUCUCCCUUC
Molecule: ribosomal RNA, 1042 nt
Filed under: Dothideomycetes sp. genotype 769 JMUR-2016
Lineage: Eukaryota; Fungi; Ascomycota; Dothideomycetes
Description: eukaryotic LSU rRNA
Rfam family: Eukaryotic large subunit ribosomal RNA (bases 500-1042)
Source: RNAcentral